Topomyia yanbarensis is the source of this 1069-nucleotide long non-coding RNA. RefSeq lists it as uncharacterized. The record is from RefSeq and is a predicted model, not a curated record. Lineage: Eukaryota; Metazoa; Arthropoda; Insecta; Diptera; Culicidae. The transcript is spliced from 4 exons.
UCGAAAAGCGCCGCCGAAAAAAUAAGAAACAGAGCGAUCGAAACAGACUCACACAAGCGAGCACAACCAAUGCUGCUAGAAACCGCCUCAGUUUUGUUCACUACCGCCAAAUGAAAAAAGAACGCCGCUAAAGCCUGCCGAACAAUUUUCACUCCGCUUCGUUUUUGUGCCCGCAGAAGCGCGGGUAGUAAAUUUAGGGUGCACUGUGAACCAGAUUAAGCAGCUUUGAACAGUCUGGUCUCAUCAAGCUGGGAUUUAGUCUCCCGAGCGACGGAAGAGCAUUCAACUAACGUCAGAUCGAAAAGACGCCGUCGAAGUUCCCUCUCCGCCACUUGAAGGGCAUUCGAAAGACACCAGAGUGGAAGUGCCCAUAGGUAGAGCGACUGGAAUUCCGAAUUUACCGCGAGAACGAAGACCACUCAUUCAAGGGUCUUUGUUUUGGCUUAUUUGCAGCUCUUCUGUCUGGCAGGAUCGCCGAAUCUGGAGCACGGCGGAAACAUACCGGAGGUGAACGUCUGCAUUGAAACGGUGGUAGCUAGCCACAUCACUGAGUGUAGGACUCUCAAGGAUCGCGCAUGUUCGGACAGCAGGCACUGGGAGCCGACAGCCACUGAAUGACAAGUAAUGGCGAACGGCGCGGAGAGCGAAUAGUGUCAAAGGGGAAGCAGAUAAAUGACGGUGCAGUAAGUAGUAGGAGUGUAAGAAAAGUGCAGUAGGAAGAAGAGAAAAGGCAUGAGAAGAGAUUAGGGAGGAAGCAUAGAGGAAGAGAGAAAGUAAGAAGAAAGAAGCCAUGGGAGAGGCCUAUAUAAUGCCUUACAAAAUGUUGACGUGGAGUUUUCCUUUCUCAGAACCAAUUUUCAUUUACCAUUUCGCUUAGUCGGACGAGGAAAGUGGUAGCUUUGCCGAAUCGUUCGGACGUGUCUUUGUGUUUGCCUAAUAUUUUUAAAGUUUGUCAGUGAAAUCAAGUGUAUUUAACAGGAAAUCCAAGCUAAUUGUUCACCAGAACAGAAAGUAUACAAUUUGUUCCGCUUAGGCGCCAUCUGAACUUGACUAGCCGAUGCAACGAUUC